RNAcentral lists this ribosomal RNA (252 nucleotides) under uncultured bacterium. RNAcentral describes it as "partial 16S ribosomal RNA". It matches the Rfam family "Bacterial small subunit ribosomal RNA", at positions 524 to 776 of the family's 1533-position model. The record is from RNAcentral.
UACGAAGGGGCUAGCGUUGCUCGGAAUCACUGGGCGUAAAGCGCACGUAGGCGGAUUGUUAAGUCAGGGGUGAAAUCCUGGAGCUCAACUCCAGAACUGCCUUUGAUACUGGCGAUCUCGAGUCCGGGAGAGGUGAGUGGAACUGCGAGUGUAGAGGUGAAAUUCGUAGAUAUUCGCAAGAACACCAGUGGCGAAGGCGGCUCACUGGCCCGGUACUGACGCUGAGGUGCGAAAGCGUGGGGAGCAAACAGG